RNAcentral lists this small RNA (1809 nucleotides) under Pan troglodytes (chimpanzee). RNAcentral describes it as "processed transcript". The record is from RNAcentral. Lineage: Eukaryota; Metazoa; Chordata; Mammalia; Primates; Hominidae.
CCGAGAAGAUGUCUCCGACGCCGCCGCUCUUCAGUUUGCCCGAAGCGCGGACGCGGUUUACGAAGUCUACCAGAGAGGCCUUGAACAACAAAAACAUCAAGCCAUUGUUAAGUACCUUCAGCCAGGUACCUGGCAGUGAAAAUGAAAAAAAAUGUACCCUUGACCAAGCUUUCAGAGGUAUUCUAGAAGAAGAAAUUAUAAAUCAUUCAUCAUGUGAAAACGUUUUAGCUAUUAUUUCUCUUGCUAUUGGGGGAGUAACUGAAGGUAUUUGUACCGCAUCUACACCUUUUGUAUUGUUGGGAGAUGUUUUGGAUUGUCUUCCUUUGGAUCAGUGUGACACAAUAUUCACUUUUGUGGAAAAAAAUGUUGCUACUUGGAAAUCAAAUACAUUCUAUUCUGCUGGGAAAAAUUACUUACUACGUAUGUGCAAUGAUCUCCUAAGAAGAUUGUCUAAAUCCCAGAAUACAGUCUUCUGUGGACGGAUUCAGCUCUUUUUGGCCAGGCUUUUCCCUCUGUCUGAGAAAUCAGGUCUUAACUUGCAGAGUCAGUUUAAUCUGGAAAAUGUCACUGUUUUCAAUACGAAUGAGCAGGAAAGCACCCUGGGUCAGAAGCACACUGAAGAUAGAGAAGAAGGAAUGGAUGUAGAAGAAGGCGAAAUGGGAGAUGAGGAAGCUCCAACAACGUGCUCUAUUCCAAUUGAUUACAACCUGUAUCGAAAAUUCUGGUCACUUCAGGAUUACUUCAGGAACCCUGUGCAAUGCUAUGAGAAGAUUUCAUGGAAAACUUUUCUCAAGUAUUCUGAAGAAGUUUUAGCUGUUUUUAAGAGUUAUAAAUUAGAUGAUACUCAGGCCUCAAGAAAAAAGAUGGAAGAAUUGAAAACAGGAGGAGAACAUGUAUAUUUUGCAAAAUUUUUAACAAGUGAAAAGCAAUGACGGGUAAAAUAUAAACGAGAAAACAAAAGAGACAAGGCUGGGCUUCCAGAAACAAGAUAAAUAUCUUCAUGGACCAGAAAUGCCAAGUAGUGAGCAAAACUGCAGCCUGGGCCUGCUGGACUCUCUAUCCAAGGCAGGUGGUGGUGUCCAGGAAUUUGGCUACAAGUAACAGAGACUAAAUGUGCACCAUGUGGGACAAGGGGCCAGAGCCAGAUUCACUUCUUGAAGCCAAGGACUAGGGUGGAACUUUUAUCCACUUUUGGAAAGAAACUAAGAAAAAAUAUUGCCAGUCUUCUGCCAAGGGCUAUGGUUUUAUAGGAAGUUGUGAGCCUAGGGAUAACAAAGACAGCUUUGUGUCCAUCUGCUUGCUCAGUGACCAAAUAUGUGAUAUGCUCAGUAUACUUAUGAAACAGCUGCUCCAAGAAGUCAUCAUAAGACUUCUUCUAGACUUUUGGACUCAGGGGCCCUGGUAGAAGCAGAUGCAAAACUGCUAGACAGGGAAGGAUGUACACAGAGAGGGAGGGGAAAGGAAGUAAACAAACAUCCCAAAAGAAAAGGCUCCUGUUCAAAACUCUGAUAAAUUAAAAUUCCAAAAUCCAUAAAUCUAAUGCUAAGAAGGAUCACCAGCAAAAUCAACUAUUGGGAUAUAUAUAUAUUUAUUCCAGAUGAAAUAUAUAGCCUGACCAAGACUUUAUGUAUGUUUUGGAUACUCAAAAAGAUAAUCGAUGAGAUAACAUCCAUUGAAAAGGAACAAGAAAUCAUGAAACAAAAGCAGGCUGAAAUGAAGUAGGACAGUCGAUACAACUAAUCGGAGUCUUGGAAAUGAAAAAUAACAAUAAUUGAAACCAAAACUCAGCACACAGAAUUAAACUAUACA